UAAAGCGUGCGCAGGCGGCUUUGCAAGACAGAUGUGAAAUCCCCGGACUCAACCUGGGAACUGCAUUUGUGACUGCAAGGCUAGAGUACGGUAGAGGGGGAUGGAAUUCCGCGUGUAGCAGUGAAAUGCGUAGAUAUGCGGAGGAACACCAAUGGCGAAGGCAAUCCCCUGGACCUGUACUGACGCUCAUGCACGAAAGCGUGGGGAGCAAACAGGAUUAGAUACCCUGU
This 230-nucleotide ribosomal RNA is filed under the name uncultured bacterium. RNAcentral's name for it is "partial 16S ribosomal RNA". It matches the Rfam family "Bacterial small subunit ribosomal RNA", at positions 561 to 790 of the family's 1533-position model. The record is from RNAcentral.